RNAcentral lists this ribosomal RNA (392 nucleotides) under uncultured bacterium. Its description in RNAcentral is "partial 16S ribosomal RNA". It matches the Rfam family "Bacterial small subunit ribosomal RNA", at positions 523 to 918 of the family's 1533-position model. The record is from RNAcentral.
AUACGGAGGAUCCGAGCGUUAUCCGGAUUUAUUGGGUUUAAAGGGUGCGCAGGCGGCCAUUUAAGUCAGCGGUUAAAUCGUGGGGCUCAACCCCAUUCUGCCGUUGAUACUGGGUGGCUUGAUUGCGGUCGAGGUUGGCGGAAUUCGUUGUGUAGCGGUGAAAUGCAUAGAUAUGACGAAGAACACCGAGUGCGUAGGCAGCUGACCAGCCCGAGAAUGACGCUCAUGCACGCAAGUGCGUGGACCGAACAUGAUUAGAUACCCUGGUAGUCCUCACAGUAAGCGAUGAAUACAUGUUUUCUGCGAUAUAAUAUCAGAGGCAAAGCGAAAGCAAUAAGUAUUCCACCUUGGGAGUACGCCGGCACCGGUGAUGCUCAAAUAAAUUGACGGGG